GAAACAGGCAGAGUACAGGUAUAAAACAGGUAUGAGACGUUGUUAUAUAGAAACAGGCAGAGUACAGGUAUAAAACAGGUAUGAGACGUUGUUAUAUAGAAACAGGCAGAGUACAGGUAUAAAACAGGUAUGAGACGUUGUUAUAUAGAAACAGGCAGAGUACAGGUAUGAAACAGGUAUGAGACGUUGUUGUUAUAUAGAAACAGGCAGAGUACAGGUAUAAAACAGGUAUGAGACGUUGUUAUAUAGAAACAGGCAGAGUACAGGUAUAAAACAGGUAUGAGACGUUGUUGUUAUAUAGAAACAGGCAGAGUACAGGUAUGAAACAGGUAUGAGACGUUGUUGUUAUAUAGAAACAGGCAGAGUACAGGUAUGAAACAGGUAUGAGACGUUGUUGUUUUAUAGAAACAGGCAGAGUACAGGUAUAAAACAGGUAUGAGACGUUGUUGUUUUAUAGAAACAGGCAGAGUACAGGUAUGAAACAGGUAUGAGACGUUGUUGUUAUAGAAACAGGCA
Salvelinus fontinalis (brook trout) is the source of this 516-nucleotide long non-coding RNA. RefSeq lists it as uncharacterized. The record is from RefSeq and is a predicted model, not a curated record. Lineage: Eukaryota; Metazoa; Chordata; Actinopteri; Salmoniformes; Salmonidae. The transcript has 3 exons.